GUGAACGCAGGACCAUGAAAACAUAGAAUCAACAAUAAUUUGCUAUGCUGCUAUUUUGUAAUUUAUAGCACUAUGGCGACAGGUGACAACUCCCACCUGGCCAUGGAGGAAUGCUCCACACCUGAUUUUGGCCCGCUUAUGUUGAAGGACAUGUACGAAUCCUACAUGACUGGCCAUCUUUGUGACUUCUCAGUCAAAGUCGAAGGCAAGACAUACAGAAUACAUAAGAUAGUUCUGGCCAGUUGCAGUGACUAUUUCAAAGCUGUGUUUUCCCACGACAUGCUUGAGAGUCGCCAGGAAUAUGUAGAGCUGAAGGGACUGACAGAGAAAGGAGUCCAUCCACUUAUUAAAUACGCCUACACCGGCUCUGUAGUACUCACCCUAGACAAUAUCCAGGAGGUCAUAUGUGCAGCCACAUUUCUACAGAUGACUACUGCCAUUGACCUCUGUAUAGAAUACCUCAAAAAGAAGAUGACAUUUGACAAUGCAGAAGAACUACUGGGUAUAGGUGAAAUACUGUCUAUACCUACCUUGAAAGUUCACUAUAGGGAAUAUAUCUUAGAGAAUUUCAUUCAGUUUUCAGAAACUGAUUCGUUUUUGAAUUUGGACCCUGAUACACUGAUAGACUAUUUGCUGGACGACCAUCUGCGGACCACCACAGAGCUACAGCUGCUGAAGGCUGCUCUGAGGUGGUACGAACAUGACCCUAAAGCUCGGGAAAGUAAAGCCUUUGAUGUUUUAGACAAAAUUCGAUAUGUAGUGGACGGUUGGCCGGCAAUAGAGUAUGCCAUGAAGAACGAGCCCUUCAGAUCAAAUCGCAAAUGUAGAGAAAUUCUAAAAUUCUGUACUGAAUAUAUGGUGAACGCUACCAAAAGGUAUACAUACUACGACCACAGGACACGUGUGAGGUUUGAAAGCAAAACGUUGGUACAGUUUGGAGGUGUGACUAGGUUUGAUAUGUAUGAGGAUAGUGAAAUGCCACCAGAUGAUUUUGGUGAUCAUUGUGGCUGGGAAAGAAACCACUUCUACCACACUGACCUAAAACACUGGUUCCCACUGGGAUGUGUACGUGUCAUGGAAGCCAUGUCGCAUUUGACUGUCACAGAAGUGAAUGACUGCAGUAUAUUAUGUGGGGGGUAUGUGUAUGAUAUGGAUGAGGACUUGGCGUCCCGCAGUGCCACGCGACAAGUACGUAUGUUUACCCCUAGCCAUCUCAGUAUCUGGGACCUGGAAAGUAUGAAGCAUGAACGUGCACAGCAUGCUGCAGUCUGUCUCCAAGGGAACAUCUAUGUGAUAGGAGGCAAAGACAACAAGCAGCCACUGGCCUCUGUGGAGAAACAUGAGUGUGAUGAAGGCGUGUGGUAUUACGUGAAGCCUCUCCCCAAACCACUCUACGACCAUGCAGCAGCUGUAGCUGAAGGAAAGAUCUAUGUAACUGGAGGUGUAGAGGUGACACCCACCAACAAGAUGUGGUGUUUUGAUCCUUCACUCAACAAGUGGCACAAAAAGGCUUCACUGCUGCAAGCCCGUGCCGGACAUGGAAUGGUAAGCCUAAAUGGGGUACUGUAUGUGUGUGGAGGGUACAAGGAGGUGGGAUUCGACAGCCCUAACACUGACUCCAGUCUGGACUCGGUGGAGUCCUACAGCCUUCAGACAAGACAGUGGACCAGUCUCGCUCCAAUGCCAAUUAGUGCAUUCCAUGUGGGCAUAGUUGUGUUAAAUGAGAAGAUCUUGGUCGCGGGAGGCGAGACGGAAGGAGGAGAACUGAUACCUAACAUCCAGCAGUACGACCCCCAGCAGAACCGCUGGACCCAGUAUGGAAGACUGGAGAGGCAACUGAAGGGUCUAGGUCUUUGUGCUGUGACAGUCAAGUUUGCCAAGAAGGGACCAGGUGAUGACUAUGUGAAGGCCUUCACCGAGACGGAAGCAGCGUCUAAUGUGUGUAUGGUGGACGCUGGACAUAUAGAGGACUCGGACGAUACAGACGACUCUGAAUUCUUCCUUAUAUGAUACGUUCAUACUUACCCGACAUCCCUCCAGUAUGUAUUGGUCUCCUAUACACCUGUAUACCUGUAUUCAGUAGUCACCAGGAUUCAACAUAGGCUGGGUGCUUCUGAAUCUUAAAUGUGCACAUGUGACUUCUGUAUGGGGCCUAACACCGAAUUCUACAGACAUUCAUCUAAAGGACUAAAAUCUCAAAUAAAAGAAACGUUUAUGGAUGUUUCUACUACAGAAAGAGGAAGGUCAUAGUAAUCGCAAUCACACAGGAGGAAAGGUGAAGGUCGUAGUAAUCGCAAUCACACAGGAGGAAAGGUGAAGGUCAUAGAAAUCGCAAUCACACAGGAGGAAAGGUGAAGAUCAUAGGAAUCGCAAUCACACAGGAGGAAAGGUGAAGGGCGUAGUAAUCGCAAUCACACAGGAGGAAAGGUGAAGGUCAUAGAAAUCGCAAUCACACAGGAGGAAAGGUGAAGGUCAUAGUAAUCGCAAUCACACAGGAGGAAAGGUGAAGGUCAUAGUAAUCGCAAUCACACAGGAGGAAAGGUGAAGGUCAUAGUAAUCGCAAUCACACAGGAGGAAAGGUAAAGGUUGUAGUAAUCGCAAUUACACAGGAGGAAAGGUGAAGGUCAUAGUAAUCGCAAUCACACAGGAGGAAAGGUGAAGGUCAUCGUAAUCGCAAUCACACAGGAGGAAAGGCGAAGGUCAUCGUAAUAGCAAUCACACAGGAGGAAAGGUGAAGGUCAUAGUAAUCGCAAUCACACAGGAGGAAAGGUGAAGGUAGUAGUAAUCACAAUCACACAGGAGGAAAGAUGAAGGUCGUAGUAAAUUUAGAUGUUGUAAUUAAGAUUGAAUGACAAGGUUAAUUGCUAUUUGCAAUUUGAAAAAUCAUUUGAAAAUAUUUAAAAAUACGCCCAUAAUAUAAUAGGUGUACUGAAAGACGAGGCCAGUACCUGUUGUAGAUCUGUAUAACGGUCACACAAACAUUAGUAGUUACUUAUGUUGGCAGAAUUUUUCAUAAUUGACAUAAAUUAUUUAUGAGAAAAAAUUGUUGCAAGUGAAUUAAUGAUAAACAUUUUCUAAUGCAUUAUCCAGUUGAUACACUACAAACUAUGUGUCUAUUGUAUAAUUCUGUUUCUGUAUCCAGAGAACAAUGAAAAAGCACAUUGGAAAAUAAGUAAUACAUCGUCUGAUGUAGAGUUACGUAAAAUUUCCAAUGAUAUGGAAAGAAAUUACAGUAUGAUAAAAAUAAUUGUAUUGUGAUAACCUGAAACUGGUUGGGACAUAAUUAUACUUAUGAUGACAUUUGAACAUCCAAUGAAGGCUGCUAACACAGUGUUAACUUAGAGACAGGUCCCUGACAACCUAACACAGUGUUAACUUAGAGACAGGUCCCUGACAAUCUCCUCCUGCUGUUUCCAGUAUAUGGACCAACAGAAAAACGUAUUGGUUUCCAAUUGAAUAACUUAUGUGUCUCAAAAGUACAAAAUAUUUUCCUUUGCAUUCAUGAAAGAAUCGGAGAAAUCUGUCAUACUUAUUAAAUACAUUGUACAUAUAAUAAUGAACAGGAGUCCAUCCAGUAUUCUAUAUUAAUCUGCUAUUAAAUAAUAGUUGAUAAUCAAUGUGUUGUGUGUAUAACCCAACAGCACGUUUACAAUCAUAGGCACUUGAGCAAUAUAUGCUCAAAUGUAUUUCCCAAGUUAUUUGAAGAAGACAGCCAAGCAUCCCAUUAAUUAAGAGUAGAGAAUGACUUUUUUUGCCAAUAUAUCGGUUUUAGAUCUACUUCACUGACCAAUAUAUCGGUUUUAGAUCUACUUCACUGACCAAUAUAUCGGUGUUAGAUCUACUUCACUGACCAUUAUAUCGGUUUUAGAUCUACUUCACUGACCAAUAUAUCGGUUUUAGAUCUACUUCACUGACCAGUAUAUCGGUUUUAGAUCUACUUCACUGACCAAUAUUUUGCUGAUUUAUACAGUUAGCAUGCAAACUAAAUGUACUGAUCACAUCAUAUCUUAAGUAAGAUUCAUCAGUUUGGAAAUUUGUAAUGUUAAGUAUUAUUUUAUACACAGAUAGUGUUUGUAUUGAAUGUGUUAUAAUAUUUCCAGACUGAAUGGUCCCUUUGUCAACUUAUGACCGAAUGAGCCAUCUGUAUUGUUUACCUACGAUGUGACAAAAUACUGGUAACCUAUUCGAUACAGUGUGAAUACACUCUCUAAUCAAUGUCCUGUGUCAAGUAACAUAUGAAAUUUAUAAUUUCGUCACCUAGUUGUACAGGUAAGCAAUACAAAUCACUCACUCUGGCAUAGCUCGUUUAAUACGUACCCAGUAUAUUGUUUGUGUAACAAAUGUAAACAAAUAACAUCAGCUCUAUAGAGCUUUUGACCGACAUACAUGUUACCUACAAAGACGUUCACACUUGGACAAGUUAGACAUAUUGACAUUUAGGUGAUAUAAAUAUUAUAUGAGAUUAAAAACACUUCAGAUUUAAAGCUAUUAUCAGUAUAGACACAUUUUACACACUUUUGUUAGUACAAUAUCUAGCAUCUAACAUAUUUUAAAAAUGCAUAAGAUUUAUAAAGUUCUGGAUUUGUCAGGUUGGUUCAUAUUAAAAGGUAAUCAAUAUACAAUACUGUACCAAGGGGAGGUAAUCAAUAUACAAUACUGUACCAAGGGGAGGUAAUCAAU
Molecule: RNA transcript, 4680 nt
Organism: Mizuhopecten yessoensis (Yesso scallop)
Lineage: Eukaryota; Metazoa; Mollusca; Bivalvia; Pectinida; Pectinidae
Gene name: kelch-like protein 26
Exons: 11
Source: RefSeq, a predicted model, not a curated record